GAUGAACGCUGGCGGCGUGCCUAAUACAUGCAAGUCGAGCGAACAGACGAGGGGCUUGCUCCUCUGACGUUAGCGGCGGACGGGUGAGUAACACGUGGAUAACCUACCUAUAAGACUGGGAUAACUUCGGGAAACCGGAGCUAAUACCGGAUAAUAUAUUGAACCGCAUGGUUCAAUAGUGAAAGACGGUUUUGCUGUCACUUAUAGAUGGAUCCGCGCCGCAUUAGCUAGUUGGUAAGGUAACGGCCUACCAAGGCAACGAUGCGUAGCCGACCUGAGAGGCGGAUCGGCCGCACUGGAACUGAGACACGGUCCAGACUCCUACGGGAGGCAGCAGUAGGGAAUCUUACGCAAUGGGCGAAAGCCUGACGGAGCAACGCCGCGUGAGUGAUGAAGGUCUUCGGAUCGUAAAACUCUGUUAUUAGGGAAGAACAAAUGUGUAAGUAACUAUGCACGUCUUGACGGUACCUAAUCAGAAAGCCACGGCUAACUACGUG
Molecule: ribosomal RNA, 497 nt
Filed under: uncultured bacterium
Lineage: Bacteria
Description: partial 16S ribosomal RNA
Rfam family: Bacterial small subunit ribosomal RNA
Source: RNAcentral